Molecule: long non-coding RNA, 291 nt
Filed under: Elaeis guineensis (African oil palm)
Lineage: Eukaryota; Viridiplantae; Streptophyta; Magnoliopsida; Arecales; Arecaceae
Description: long non-coding RNA (EGUI_LNC054424)
Source: RNAcentral
AGGUGGUAGAGGAACAUCAACUAUUGGCUCAUGGACUAUGGGUUUUUAAGGAUCUAUAGCUCUGGGCUCUUCAGAGACUUUCUCUUCGAGAUCCACUAGCCUCUCACUGUCGCCGUCCUAGAUGAACUAUUUUUUUAGGAAUAUGGUGUUUUGACUCACAAUCACAUUGUGAUCUUGUGGAUAACAGAAGUAAUAUCUCAUGGAUUUUUUUAGAUACCCUAUAAAGUGAGCUAUAAUAGAUCUAUCCUCUAGCUUAUCCAUCAUUUAUCUCUUGACAUAGAUCAGACAUCC